Molecule: small RNA, 33 nt
Filed under: Arabidopsis thaliana (thale cress)
Lineage: Eukaryota; Viridiplantae; Streptophyta; Magnoliopsida; Brassicales; Brassicaceae
Description: ATSL012550
Source: RNAcentral
AGAGAUCUUGGAGGUCAAUGUAUCACAUAAACA